RNAcentral lists this small RNA (4083 nucleotides) under Pongo abelii (Sumatran orangutan). RNAcentral's name for it is "retained intron". The record is from RNAcentral. Lineage: Eukaryota; Metazoa; Chordata; Mammalia; Primates; Hominidae.
UAGACGUUGGGGAGCGGGAAGGCAACGGCAGUGGGAUCGGGAUGAACAGCGGCGGCGGCUUCGGUUUGGGCUUAGGCUUCGGCCUCACCCCCACGUCGGUGAUUCAGGUGACGAAUCUGUCGUCGGCGGUGACCAGCGAGCAGAUGCGGACGCUUUUUUCCUUCCUAGGAGAAAUCGAGGAGCUGCGGCUCUACCCCCCGGACAACGCACCUCUUGCUUUUUCCUCCAAAGUAUGUUAUGUUAAGUUUCGUGAUCCAUCAAGUGUUGGUGUGGCCCAGCAUCUAACUAACACGGUUUUUAUUGACAGAGCUCUGAUAGUUGUUCCUUGUGCAGAAGAUGACUAGACUGGCCAAGGCAGACCUGUUACACUUGCCUGAGUUAGGCAUUGUUUGCCAUGCCACUAAACCUGCCGUCAAGUGAAACCUUCAUUGGGGAAAUGAGAUCGGAGUCUGAACCGCAGAAGAUGGACGCCCUGUCUCUGUUUUUUAUUGUUUUACUUUAAUUUCAUUUCUUUUUCUUUAUUUUGUCCCUUUUUUUGUUUUUGUUUUUGUUUUUGUUUUGUUAAAUCUCUUUCACUUUAACUUGUGAGCUGGUUUUCCCAGUUCUUUGUAAAUGGUAUUUCAUUAAGGGUUCAUAACGUGUUGCAAAUUAUAUUGGGAGAUGAUUAGUAGAGCUCAACCUUAAGAUAAAGCAAAUUUUCAUGUGGUAAAUUAGGAUACAGUGUUGUGAAGCUCAUUGUGAGUCUUAAUUUGUGUGUAUGGACUGAUAAGGUACAUUUUAUUCUUGAAACAUUAAAACACUGAUAAGUAUCUCACGAACACUUUCUGAUCUCAGCGCAACAUUUUUCUAAAUUUUUUCCCCCAGUCUACAUCUCUCAUAAAAACUGAUAGCUUCUAAUUUUUGUCCUUCCCCCUGGAAUUUUAGGCAUAAAAAAUCAUCAAGGAAAAUAAGUAAAUAUAACAAUCUGGGAGUAAAGAAGAGCCUUUCAUUUUUAUGAUGGUUAUUUAUUAUAGAACUUACUUCCUUGACUUACGAAGACUUUUUGUUGCCUAUGUGGGGAAUGGAUACUUGAGAAAUUUACUUAUUUGUAUGUAGGUUUUUGUUAGCUUGAAUUUUUUGUUGAAUAUUUUUCAGAGGUUACUAGCUUCUAAAUGGAUUCUGAGAUUAGGACUAUUACUUUAAUACUGUGAGAGAUGUUUUCCUCAGUUGACUUUGAGGAGUAUAGUUUGGGAAAAAUGCUAAAAAAUGCUUAUUUGUUUUAUACUUUUAUAAGCUCUGUUAUUUGGAGGGUAAAUUUGGUAGAAUUCUAUCUUGGAAAUUAAGCAAUGGAGCUUUUUCUUAAAGUACUUUUACCAUUACCUUUAGGUAAUUAGAAUUAGUAUAUAGAGUAAUUAGAAUGGUAAUUAAAAGUUAAUUUAUUAAAAAAUGUGCUUAUAGUGGAGUUAUAUAUUUAUAGUAGUAUACUAUAUUUAUAGUAGUAUACUCUUUUGAAAGGCAGUGAGAGAGUCUGACAACCUACUGAUAUUUUAUUUAAGCUGAAAGUGAAAGACUUCAUAAUACUAAGUAGUCAACUUUUGGCCAGUGUCGAAUACACUUUUUGUUUGUAUAGUCUUUCUACAGUGUCUUCAAUAGGUAGUUUUGCUUAUUAAAGGACAAGUAAUAUUACAUUUGGAACAUUACUAGAUUAGAACUCUUAGUUUCCUUAGGUGCAUACAUUAAGGUAGUGAAGAUGGAGUUUCUGCCUCAAAACCUCAAUUUAUCAAGAAUGUUCAGUUUUUACAAACCUUUUAAGAUAAUACCAAUUUAUAACAGAUAAAACAGGUGAAAUCAAUAUAAAUAGUAUAGUGUAUAUGUGGGUAUAUAUAAAUACAUGUGUUAAUACCAAUAACUAAUACAUAUAAAGCAGAUUAUUGUUAUUUGAUGUUUUCAAUAAGGCCUACCUGCCUUUUGUUGAUGCGUGUUAAGAAAUCUGUUCUCCAGAAUUUUUACUGAAAUAAUAAAGAUAACUUUGUUUUUGAAAGUAAUAAAGUGAUAUAAACUUCGAUGCUGCAAAGGUAGAAAAUAGUAGGUUUUAUUUGCUUCCUAUAAAUAAGGCAUAGCCAUUAUUUAAAUCAAGUUUUAAAUUCCGACUUGAGUUCCAUGCAUGUUUAAAGAUAUAUUCAGAUAAUAUUGUUUAGGGAUUUAUCUCUGCACAUGUGGUUGUUUUAAAUAUUUUUACAACUGAAACCAGGCAUGGUGCUUGUGAAAAUUUACUGCAUAUGCUAUAUUUCAGUUUAGCAUGAUUUUGUGCAUUGUCUUUUAAAACACUUUUGGAGAAUUAAUAAUAGAAAUGCUUUACCAGCUACCACAUGAGUGUUCUUCUAAAUAUAUCCACAUGUAGUCAACUAUUUAAAUUUUUUUUUUUUUUUUUUGACUAAGGGGAUAAGGAAAAAUAACGUGAAAGUUGCAGUCCUUAUCAGAAGUAAUUGAUUAGAAUUCAGCAAUGAAUAUGACAAAUCGUACUUAUUUCAGAGUAAGUUUUUCAUUUUUUUAGGUUGUAGGAAGUUUUUUUCCUACUGAGUGUUAUUAGAUUAUUUGAAUGUUACUGUUGUUAUUAGGCAAUUAAAAUGUUUUUAAGCAAGCUUUAAGGCAUUAACCUCCCCCUUCAGAUAAGUAUACAUAAAUUGGUUCUAAAAGUUAAUAAGAAGUUUUCUGAAACCAGGGAAUUGUUUUUUCCUAAAACAUUUUUGGUAGUUUCCCAAGGCAUAUUUUUUGGAACUGAAUUCUUUUAGGCAUCUCUGAUGUUGGUGAGAUGCCUUAUUAACUGAAUGGAUGUAGGCUUCCUUUUACGUUCAAGUUGAUUACAUGGAGUAAGUUUUUGUUUUCUAUUUGAAAUUAAAUGGAAUCUGUUGGAGGGUUAUCAAAAUUGUUUGCAUCACAAAUAGGUAGUUUCAGUAACAGGAUAGGGGCACUCAUUAAGAAAUUUCAAUUCGCACAUAUUUGUUUUUUCUUUUUCUUUUUUUUGACUAAUUUGGUUAUUUGCCAUUUCUGGGGAUUAAACUUUAAAAAAUGUUCUUCUUUUCUGUAUCUGAUGUUCUGUGUGCUAUUAGUGAUGCAGCCAACACGAACGGUUGUCAUGUGUAACACAACUUUCGAUCACCGCGAAAACACCGUCCUGGGAAAGCGUCCAUGCUUGAUAUCGUUUGGUUCAUGAACAUUAAGUUUCCAGUACAGGUAAAAUCCCAGAGGAAUCCAAAGCCCUCUCUUUAUUGGCUCCUGCUCCAACCAUGACAAGUCUGAUGCCUGGUGCAGGAUUGCUUCCAAUACCAACCCCAAAUCCUUUGACUACUCUUGGUGUUUCACUUAGCAGUUUGGGAGCUAUACCAGCAGCAGCACUAGACCCCAACAUUGCAACACUUGGAGAGAUACCACAGCCACCACUUAUGGGAAAUGUGGAUCCUUCCAAAAUAGAUGAAAUUAGGAGAACGGUUUAUGUUGGAAAUCUGAAUUCCCAGACAACGACAGCUGAUCAACUACUUGAAUUUUUUAAACAAGUUGGAGAAGUGAAGUUUGUGCGGAUGGCAGGUGAUGAGACUCAGCCAACUCGGUUUGCUUUUGUGGAAUUUGCAGACCAAAAUUCUGUACCAAGGGCCCUUGCUUUUAAUGGAGUUAUGUUUGGAGACAGGCCACUGAAAAUAAAUCACUCCAACAAUGCAAUAGUAAAACCCCCUGAGAUGACACCUCAGGCUGCAGCUAAGGAGUUAGAAGAAGUAAUGAAGCGAGUACGAGAAGCUCAGUCAUUUAUCUCAGCAGCUAUUGAACCAGAGUCUGGAAAGAGCAAUGAAAGAAAAGGCGGUCGAUCUCGUUCCCAUACUCGCUCAAAAUCCAGGUCUAGCUCAAAAUCCCAUUCUAGAAGGAAAAGAUCACAAUCAAAACACAGGAGUAGAUCCCAUAAUAGAUCACGUUCAAGACAGAAAGACAGACGUAGAUCUAAGAGCCCACAUAAAAAACGCUCUAAAUCAAGGGAGAGACGGAAGUCAAGGAGUCGUUCGCGUUCACGGGACAAGAGAAAAGACACUCGAGAAAAGAUCAAGGAAAAGGAAA